GCCGGAGUGGCGGAAUUGGUAGACGCAACGGACUUAAAAUCCGUCGGAUUAUAUCCGUGUCAGUUCGAGUCUGACCUUCGGCACCA
This 86-nucleotide transfer RNA is filed under the name Actinomycetes bacterium. RNAcentral's name for it is "tRNA-Leu". It matches the Rfam family "tRNA". Rfam says of the family: Transfer RNA (tRNA) molecules are approximately 80 nucleotides in length. Their secondary structure includes four short double-helical elements and three loops (D, anti-codon, and T loops). The record is from RNAcentral. Lineage: Bacteria; Bacillati; Actinomycetota; Actinomycetes.